UUCAAUCCAAUCUAAACCUAAUUUGUCAUUAUAAAUAACACCCUUCACUGAUGAGAGAGGAGGACGAAAUUCAGAUCAAAAAAUCACCAAACAACAACACAUUUCUCUCAUUUUUUCACCCUUUUCUUUGAUUUUUCAAAACCCAUUCAAACCACCUUCAAACUUGAAUUUCUUCAAUCCACUAGCUUCUAACAACUUCCAGUAGCACAAAACAAUCAUAAAACACAAGCUCUAACCCAUAAUUCGCGUGAACCAAAUGCUCAAAAAAAUCAUCCAAAAAAAGAUUGAAACGGUUCUGGAGUUCUAGGCCACUAUUUCACGUGAUUUUUGUCGCUCUAUGCUCCUGGAGACGUUCUAAAGCUUUCCCACAGACCCAAUCAACCCAGUUCGCAUUNNNNNNNNNNNNNNNAACUUUCGGGCACUUUUGGAAGAAAAUAAGGGUAGAUUCGUGAUCUACGAAGAAUUCCGAGCAAUUUGGUAUAUUUGGUUGCAAUUUUCAGUCACUAUUUGAAUCGCCGGCGAAAGGACCACCGUGCCGGAAUCGGCCUGCUCGCCGGAGAAGAAGGUGUUUCCGGUUCUGUUUUUUUUUAUUUUCUUUUGUUUCCAGUUUAAAUUUAAGCCAUCUGAUUGAUCAAACGGACCAGAUCUGUCCUAAUUUUUUUUAAAUAUUAUCCAUUUGAUCAAUCAGAUGACCCAGAUAUAAGAUUGUUACUGUGUACCCUAUUUAGCUACUGCAUUGGAUUAUUUUUGUUUGACUGUGAAUUUUUGUUUGACUUCGCUGAUGGGCCUUCGGCUUGGACUAGGCUGACUGUUAUUUGCACCCCGUUUCUAAUACGUUUUAAUAUUUGCACCCCCUGCUGCAACUUAAUUUUAAUUUGUUU
This 881-nucleotide long non-coding RNA is filed under the name Trifolium pratense (red clover). Its description in RNAcentral is "long non-coding RNA (TPRA_LNC008392)". Lineage: Eukaryota; Viridiplantae; Streptophyta; Magnoliopsida; Fabales; Fabaceae. The record is from RNAcentral.